GAAAAUUGGAAUGGCACAGAGAAGAUUAGCAUGGCCCCUGCACAACGAUGACAUGCAAAUUCUUGAAGCAUUCCAUAAAAAA
Molecule: small nuclear RNA, 82 nt
Organism: Castor canadensis (American beaver)
Lineage: Eukaryota; Metazoa; Chordata; Mammalia; Rodentia; Castoridae
Source: Ensembl